Molecule: small nucleolar RNA, 77 nt
Filed under: Gouania willdenowi (blunt-snouted clingfish)
Lineage: Eukaryota; Metazoa; Chordata; Actinopteri; Blenniiformes; Gobiesocidae
Description: Small nucleolar RNA SNORD66 (ENSGWIG00000014696.1)
Rfam family: Small nucleolar RNA SNORD66
About the family: snoRNA HBII-142 is part of the C/D family of snoRNAs.
Source: Rfam by way of RNAcentral
CUUCAUUGAUGAUGUUCUUAAGUGUCACGGGUCUGGGCCACUGAAUGUCAAUGAUGGUGAUGAGGAAACUGAUGAAG